AACAUCGUUGAGGUGGUCUAGAAUGUUAGCUGGCGGCGUGCCUAAUACAUGCAGUCGAGCGAAUGGAUUAAGAGCUUGCUCUUAUGAAGUUAGCGGCGGACGGGUGAGUAACACGUGGGUAACCUGCCCAUAAGACUGGGAUAACUCCGGGAAACCGGGGCUAAUACCGGAUAACAUUUUGAACCGCAUGGUUCAAAAUUGAAAGGCGGCUUCGGCUGUCACUUAUGGAUGGACCCGCGUCGCAUUAGCUAGUUGGUGAGGUAACGGCUCACCAAGGCAACGAUGCGUAGCCGACCUGAGAGGGUGAUCGGCCACACUGGGACUGAGACACGGCCCAGACUCCUACGGGAGGCAGCAGUAGGGAAUCUUCCGCAAUGGACGAAAGUCUGACGGAGCAACGCCGCGUGAGUGAUGAAGGCUUUCGGGUCGUAAAACUCUGUUGUUAGGGAAGAACAAGUGCUAGUUGAAUAAGCUGGCACCUUGACGGUACCUAACCAGAAAGCCACGGCUAACUACGUGCCAGCAGCCGCGGUAAUACGCAGGUGGCAAGCGUUAUCCGGAAUUAUUGGGCGUAAAGCGCGCGCAGGUGGUUUCUUAAGUCUGAUGUGAAAGCCCACGGCUCAACCGUGGAGGGUCAUUGGAAACUGGGAGACUUGAGUGCAGAAGAGGAAAGUGGAAUUCCAUGUGUAGCGGUGAAAUGCGUAGAGAUAUGGAGGAACACCAGUGGCGAAGGCGACUUUCUGGUCUGUAACUGACACUGAGGCGCGAAAGCGUGGGGAGCAAACAG
This 787-nucleotide ribosomal RNA is filed under the name uncultured bacterium. RNAcentral's name for it is "bacterial SSU rRNA". It matches the Rfam family "Bacterial small subunit ribosomal RNA", at positions 1 to 775 of the family's 1533-position model. The record is from RNAcentral.